AUUUUAAAGAGCCAUAUCCAGGAAUCUAGCUUCAUAAUAUUCUGCUUAUGUGUUUUAGGGUUGAAGGUUUUUUUCCUGUCAUGAAAGAGAAAAGGUAGCUAUGUCAAGGUUUCUAUUCUUGUAAUUGUUAUUUUAAUAUUCCCAAUAUAUGUGAUCUUGGUUUUGCAGAGGUUGAACAUUUCCCUUCUGCUUUUUGCUUUAUUUUACAGAUUCCAGUUGAUGGAAACUUUCAUGUCUGGUCUUACUGCCAGUUCAGCAGCUCCAAAACUCAAGAUGCAAGGUUUCUGUUUCCUUAGAAGGUUGCAUGCUGUGCUCCUAAUAGAAAUACCUCUCUCUUGCUCACCCUGACAGGAAUUAUUUAAAUGCAUCCAUCACUGACAAAUCUCAAAUCAAAUCAGAUAUUAAUCAAAGGCUUCAUUUUUUCUUUUCUUUUAAUUUGAAAGAGCUGCAACAAUGGAAUAAAUUCAGCAAGAGAAAAGUCAGUUCUGUUGAAGAAAAUGCACAUGAAAACUACUAGAGAUGUUUUUGCCAAAGGCAGUGCCCACAUCACUCUUUUCUACUCUAUUAUUUCUCCUACCUUCCUCCAUUGCGUGGAAUUAAUUUGAGGCUCAGAAGGGCUGGCCCAGGGGCCAUGUAAUUUCCUGGCUUUUAUGGGAGAACUCCUGAGAGAGCACCAGUGGCUCAACACCUAAACUUGACCCAGAAAAAGACUGCAAAAGCCAUACUCAUAAAAAAAGAGAUCCAGUUUAGUAAAGAGCCAGAACCUCAAAAAGCUUCUGCAGGUCACUGGAGCAAUUAUGAACAUUAGCCUCUCUAGCAGGUGAAGCUACAAGCUCUUGUAGGAAACCAAGAAUGUAGACUCCAGGAAGCCUGCCAUUCCUGGACAAGCUACAGAAAAUCCCAAGCUCUAACACUCAAAACUUCUGCAUUUCUUCCCUUUGGCAAAAGGAUUAAGUGUUUCUAUGGAAAAGGAACAUUUUACCAUCUGCCAAAACUUCCUUUCCUGCAGGAGGACAAGCCCAAAGCAUUACGCAGUCUUAAUAAAUACAUAAAGUUUGUCUCCAUGUUCUUGUUCCAAGGGUAUAACAUUCACUCAACGACCAUCCCACACAUUGCUGUGACAAUAAGACUGGCCCUAAUGGCUACACACGUGCUAGCAAAUUAAAUCCCACUAAGCAGUACUCCCAGUCACUGAAAUAUGCAUUGCUAAACUGUUACAGCAGUGCCUGGUACACAUCUGGUCUCAUGCUUUCCUAAACAACUCUUAUAGCUCGGGAGUUAAGCAGAUGUAAGGAGCCUUUGUAAGAUGCAGUUUACAUGUAGUUACCUGAUUAUGGUGGCUAGCAGAGUUUCCUCAUGUGGAAGAUAAUUUUCCCAUAGCAGUCUGAGCUCAUUAUUACGGAACGUUGCCAGAAGCACUAAAUUUAGUAGGGAAGAUGUAGCUAUGAAGAAUACAUCAUUUACAUCUUGCAUGGACACACAUCCAAAGCAAAGCAAGUUCUUGUGGAUGUAUCAUACCUUCCUUCAGAUGGUUCAAUCCAAAGUAAGCUGUCUUUCCACUUAACUAUAAAAAUGUCCUUCUAGUACUUCUAAUAUUAAACAUUAGCAGAAGCCAACCUAUUAACACUUAUAGCACAGGAUCUUGAUCCUCAUCAUAUUCAGUACUAACAAAAACCCACUCUUUUGACCCAGUUACAAAUCAGUAGGAGUGAUUAAACAGCAUAAAUAUGAAUGACAAAGAGCCCUAUGAAUUGGCUCUGUUCCCAGAUAUCUGUACUAAUGUGAUCGUAACCUCAUCACCAUCUAUUUCCUCCAUAUAUAGAUAAUUAAUUUAUUUUCAAGGAGAUAUAACUGACUGGGAACUGAGAAUAUGAUGUAUCUUAUCUACUAGGAAAUCUGUCUAGUACAGUCCUAUGUCUCCAUCAAAGAGCAGCACCCGUUAAAUGAGCGAGUACCUCCGGGUAAGCAAACAUCACAGACUGUGCCUCCACAUUCAAGUCCAUACAUGAUCUUUAAUAGCCAGCUAUUGGUAUCAAACACGAAAAUCAGAUUUUACAGCUUUUCCAGAGAUUUACUUAUCAUUUGUUACAUCAGUUCAAGGUAUUAGCUGUAGCCUUGUAAAUGACCAGUCUCAAAACCGCGGGUGCUAACAAAUCAUUUUUAUGCUGGUCAGAUGAAAAGAAAAGCUAACAGAGAAAUUCAAAUUUCAAAUCAGCGUAUUUUUAGAUGACCUAUAGCUCAAACAGUCUGACAGCAUGCCUUUAAAUGUUGCAGAAAUAUUUUCUUUCUUUCACAGGAAAUGUGGCAAUUUUCUGGCCAAGUUAAGGUGCCAAUUCAGGAAAGCAUCACUAUUCAGAAAGGAUGUAAGCAUAUGCUUAACUUGAAGCAUGCACUUGAGGCUCUUCGACUUAAUGAUAGGAUCUAAGCACAUAUUUACAUUUAAGCACAUGUCUGAGUGCUUUCCUCCACAGAGACAGAUUUAAGCUCGUGCUUCACUGCUUUCACUGUCUAAUUUUCCAAGACAAAGCUAUAGGUAGAGAUAAAAUAGCGUGUUAGAAUGGAAGCUGCUUGCCAGGCUAAAUGCAUAUAGACAAUCAACCUCUGCAAAAUUAUAUGCAAACAUAAAGGUGCACAGCUCAUUAGUUGGGUACUGAGGGGGAGAGGGACAAUGAGCCUCUGAACUGUGGUCCCAGCUCACAGAAAUUACAAGAGCUGGGCCUUCAGCUCACGGAAGAGGUGAUUGAAUACCUAAUACUGGACGUACAGCCACCUUGACUGAAUCUGAGGUUAAAGCAUGAAAGGAAAUAACACCUGGUGUUUCUGUGCAUUUGACUCAAGCCCAGGGCAAGACAGGCAUUAAAUGGGUGCAAAUGGCCUCAGGCUAUCGAUGGCUGCUGUUCUGUCUGCCUUUGAAAAAGAGGGAGAAUUUUAGUAGUGAGACAAGCAGGAGAUAGUGAGGACUGAAAACAGCUCAGAACUGCAGUGUUCAGUUUCAUCAGGACUUUGAAAUACUCCAAUAAAAUGGAGUAACAUAUUCCUAUGGGAAGACUU
Molecule: long non-coding RNA, 3051 nt
Filed under: Anas platyrhynchos platyrhynchos (common mallard)
Lineage: Eukaryota; Metazoa; Chordata; Aves; Anseriformes; Anatidae
Description: lncRNA (ENSAPLG00000028036.1)
Source: RNAcentral